This 472-nucleotide ribosomal RNA is filed under the name Odoribacter denticanis. Its description in RNAcentral is "bacterial SSU rRNA". It matches the Rfam family "Bacterial small subunit ribosomal RNA", at positions 9 to 474 of the family's 1533-position model. Lineage: Bacteria; Pseudomonadati; Bacteroidota; Bacteroidia; Bacteroidales; Odoribacteraceae. The record is from RNAcentral.
GAGUUUGAUCAUGGCUCAGGAUGAACGCUAGCGAUAGGCUUAACACAUGCAAGUCGAGGGGUAACAGGCGGUAGCAAUACUGUGCUGACGACCGGCGGAUGGGUGAGUAACGCGUAUGCAAUCUACCUUUUACUCGGGGAUAGCCCAUGGAAACGUGGAUUAAUACCCGAUGCAUUUCUUUUGUGGCCUCAUGAAGGGAAUAAAGAUUUAUCGGUAAGAGAUGAGCAUGCGUUCCAUUAGGAAGUUGGUAAGGUAACGGCUUACCAAUCCGAUGAUGGAUAGGGGUUCUGAGAGGAAGGUCCCCCACACUGGAAUUGAGAAACGGUCCAGACUCCUACGGGAGGCAGCAGUGAGGAAUAUUGGUCAAUGGUCGUAAGACUGAACCAGCCAAGUCGCGUGAAGGUAACUGCCCUAUGGGUUUUCAACUUCUUUUGUCAGGGAAGAAUAAGGAGGAUUCAAUUCUCCGAUGCCG